AUUCCAGCUCCAAUAGCGUAUAUUAAAGUUGUUGCAGUUAAAAAGCUCGUAGUUGGAUUUCUGGCAGGAGCAACCGGUCCGCCGCAAGGUGUGCACUAGGUUGUCUCCAGUCAUCUUUGUGGGAACUGCUCUGGCAUUAGGUUGUCGGGGUUAGGGAACACAUCGUUUACUGUGAAAAAAUUAGAGUGUUUAAAGCAGGCUUAUGCCGUUGAAUACAUUAGCAUGGAAUAAUAAGAUAGGACUUUGGCGUCUAUUUUGUUGGUUUGCACACCAAGGUAAUGAUUAAUAGGGAUAGUUGGGGGUAUUCGUAUUUAAUUGUCAGAGGUGAAAUUCUUGGAUUUAUGAAAGACGAACUUCUGCGAAAGCAUUUACCAAAGAUGUUUUCAUUA
This 389-nucleotide ribosomal RNA is filed under the name Stramenopiles sp. MAST-1C. RNAcentral's name for it is "partial small subunit ribosomal RNA". It matches the Rfam family "Eukaryotic small subunit ribosomal RNA", at positions 582 to 975 of the family's 1831-position model. The record is from RNAcentral.